GCUGGGUGUGGUGGUGUGCACCUGUAAUCCCAGCUACUUGGGAGGCUGAGGCAGGAGAAUCGCUUGAACCCAGGAGGCGGAGGCUGCAGUGAGCCAAGACUGUAACACUGCACCCUAGCCUGGGCGACAGAGUGAGACUCAGUCUCAA
This is a non-coding RNA of Gorilla gorilla gorilla (western lowland gorilla), 148 nucleotides long. It matches the Rfam family "Metazoan signal recognition particle RNA". From Rfam's summary of the family: The signal recognition particle (SRP) is a universally conserved ribonucleoprotein. It is involved in the co-translational targeting of proteins to membranes. The record is from Rfam. Lineage: Eukaryota; Metazoa; Chordata; Mammalia; Primates; Hominidae.